Molecule: small nuclear RNA, 106 nt
Organism: Cryptomeria japonica (Japanese cedar)
Lineage: Eukaryota; Viridiplantae; Streptophyta; Pinopsida; Cupressales; Cupressaceae
Source: RefSeq, a predicted model, not a curated record
GUCUCUUUGGAGACAUCCGAUAAAAUUGGAACGAUACAGAGAAGAUAAGCAUUGCCCCUGUGCAAGGAUGAAUAAUCAAUAUUUGUGUUUCAUGUGUCCUAUUUUC